GAUGAACGCUAGCGGGAGGCUUAAUACAUGCAAGUCGUACGGUAACCUUUCUUCGGGAAGGCUAGAGUGGCGUACGGGUGAGUAACACGUAUGUAAUCUGCCCCUAUCUGGGAGAUAGCC
This 120-nucleotide ribosomal RNA is filed under the name uncultured bacterium. RNAcentral describes it as "partial 16S ribosomal RNA". It matches the Rfam family "Bacterial small subunit ribosomal RNA", at positions 28 to 148 of the family's 1533-position model. The record is from RNAcentral.